Molecule: non-coding RNA, 166 nt
Filed under: Heyndrickxia ginsengihumi
Lineage: Bacteria; Bacillati; Bacillota; Bacilli; Caryophanales; Bacillaceae
Description: Bacillus ginsengihumi GlcN6P sequence
Rfam family: glmS glucosamine-6-phosphate activated ribozyme aptamer
About the family: This entry contains a glucosamine-6-phosphate activated ribozyme that is found in the mRNA for GlmS.
Source: RNAcentral
GAAUCAUUAGAAGCGCCUGGACUAAAUCCGAUCGGAAGGGAUUUAGUUGACGAGGAGGAGGAGUAUCGAGAGUAAUCGGCGGAUGCCUCCCGGCUGCCACACAGUCGUUAAUCUUUUCUUAAAUCACUUAGGUGACUAAGUGGACAAAGGAAAAAGAUAGGUGGAG